RNAcentral lists this long non-coding RNA (1153 nucleotides) under Ursus americanus (American black bear). Its description in RNAcentral is "lncRNA (ENSUAMG00000016624.1)". Lineage: Eukaryota; Metazoa; Chordata; Mammalia; Carnivora; Ursidae. The record is from RNAcentral.
UGCCUGUGAAUCCAGACUAUUGACUACAUUUAAUGUCAAAUACCAGUUGGAAUUAGCUCUUCUCAGGAAGAGAAGAAGGUAUGGGGUAGAGAGGUAUGAUCUGUAAGCUACAGGCUUUAGCAGGGAAGCCAGUUAUAGUGUGAAAUGUACCAGGAAAGUGGGGGAAACACUCACUUUCUCAUGGAAGUCCAAAAAUAAGACUGAGAUUCCAAAUAAUGUUGGAGAAUUACAGCUGGAAGAGCGAUACCUCUGACCAACACAAGGCCUUUUCGAAUGAAGAAACAAUAAUGCUUAGAUUUCAGCAAACCUCUCUUGGAAGAAGAACCUUGGGCCUCCUGCUCAAGAUGCUGGGAAACAACUGUGAUGGAGUGGAACAGAGGACAGAGAUAGAAAUGUCGACUUUAUGAUAAAUGCUCAUGGAUAACCACUGCAACCACUCAACCUUAUGGUCUCUCUGCCUUUUUGACUUCCUUUUUUCUAAAUACAUUAGUUCAAAUGGUGGAUGUACAGAUACGUGGAAUGUUCCAAAUAUGUAAGUGCCAAGCACUGUCCUAGGUGCUGAGGAAUCCAUGAUGAGUAAGUCAGACACAGUCCUUGUCUUGAAUUUGCUUAUAGUCUAGCCAGAAUAGAGCAAACAAAAAUUUAAUUCUAGUUCUGCCACUAACAAGCUGUGUGACCUUGGAUAAGCCACUUUUCCACUGUCUUAUUUUAACCUCUAUCUAGUUCAGCAUUACCCCUAGAGGGGCACCAAUAGCUUUUGAGGGUGGUGGGCUACCAUCUACAUUGGUAUUUCACUAGUUCUUGUGCCUCUGUCUUCCUGCCAGUCAAUUAUUGUUUAAUUCCGAGUUAGGCCAUGCCAGCCCAGUGAAAAGGCUGUCUUCUCCACAUGGCCCCACCCAGGGACUCUUGGGGCCAAUUACUUCAACCCUUUCUCGAAAUUUGCUCUCCAAAUUAGCUCUUAUGUGCUCUGGCUAUGUGAGAGGGUCACAUCCAUUACCUCAUGGAUGUGAUGGCUCCAGCAAAGCCCCCAGGGAGCUACGCAGCCCAUUGCAACUUCCUCCAAGGGCUUUAGAGGAGUGGCGGCAAGAUGCUUUCCUCUGUAGUGUCACUGGUCCAUAAAAAGAAAAAAAUAAACCCAGAGUCAAAAGAUUCA